RNAcentral lists this ribosomal RNA (754 nucleotides) under uncultured Laccaria. RNAcentral's name for it is "eukaryotic LSU rRNA". The stretch from base 229 to 382 matches the Rfam family "5.8S ribosomal RNA". The record is from RNAcentral. Lineage: Eukaryota; Fungi; Basidiomycota; Agaricomycetes; Agaricales; Tricholomataceae.
AUGUGAUUGUUAGCUGGCUUUUCGAAGCAUGUGCUCGUCCGUCAUCUUUAUCUCUCCACCUGUGCACAUUUUGUAGUCUUGGAUACCUCUCGAGGAAACUCGGAUUUUAGGAUCGCUGUGCUGUACAAGUCGGCUUUUCUUUCAUUUCCAAGACUAUGUUUUUAUAUAUACACCAAAGUAUGUUUAUAGAAUGUCAUCAAUGGGAACUUGUUUCCUAUAAAAUUAUACAACUUUCAGCAACGGAUCUCUUGGCUCUCGCAUCGAUGAAGAACGCAGCGAAAUGCGAUAAGUAAUGUGAAUUGCAGAAUUCAGUGAAUCAUCGAAUCUUUGAACGCACCUUGCGCUCCUUGGUAUUCCGAGGAGCAUGCCUGUUUGAGUGUCAUUAAAUUCUCAACCUUCCAACUUUUAUUAGCUUGGUUAGGCUUGGAUGUGGGGGUUGCGGGCUUCAUUAAUGAGGUCGGCUCUCCUUAAAUGCAUUAGCGGAACUUUUGUGGACCGUCUAUUGGUGUGAUAAUUAUCUACGCCGUGGAUGUGAAGCAGCUUUAUGAAGUUCUGCUUCUAACCUGUCCAUUGACUUGGACAAUUUUUGACAAUUUGACCUCAAAUCAGGUAGGACUACCCGCUGAACUUAAGCAUAUCAAUAAGCGGAGGAAAAGAAACUAACAAGGAUUCCCCUAGUAACUGCGAGUGAAGCGGGAAAAGCUCAAAUUUAAAAUCUGGCAGUCUUUGGCUGUCCGAGUUGUAAUCUAGAGAA